UCGAUAUAACUGAACUUCAAA
This 21-nucleotide non-coding RNA is filed under the name Caenorhabditis elegans. The record is from RNAcentral. Lineage: Eukaryota; Metazoa; Nematoda; Chromadorea; Rhabditida; Rhabditidae.